RNAcentral lists this long non-coding RNA (4663 nucleotides) under Canis lupus familiaris (dog). RNAcentral describes it as "lncRNA (ENSCAFG00030004872.1)". The record is from RNAcentral. Lineage: Eukaryota; Metazoa; Chordata; Mammalia; Carnivora; Canidae.
AUGACAGGUGGCAGCUGCCCACGAGCAGGAAGACAAGGAGGAGUCAACCCACUCCAUCAGAUGGAGGAACCUUGGCAGUGUCUUCUUCUAGCUGGCCCCAGAGGAAGGAGGUGCUCACAAGGUCCCGGUUCUGAGGACUCUCUCAAGCUGUCUGUGGACCAGCUGGAGCAGAACAUUCAAGGAACGCUGACAUCUGCUGUCCGCACUCAGCUGGAGGGUCACACUCAGCUUCAAGGGAGACAGACCCCUGACCAGGUGUCCUCUGCUGUUCCCUCCCUCGCCAAUAAUACCUCUGACUUCGGGCAAAGUGUUCUAGUUCACCUCCAGCUCUUCCUGCCCCAAGGCCACCUAUAUUCCUAUUGAGCCUGAUGCCACCCUCUGAGAGAGGCAUUGCCUGGCAGUGGAGACGAGACUCCGGUGAAGCCGGAUCAUAAUCCGAGAUCGCAGAGCUCCUUCAGGUUAGCGAUGGACUGAGAACCAGGGCCUUACGCACGUGUAUCAGGUAAGGAGUGAGCAGAGGAUAGUGAGGCAGGGUAGGGAAAAGGGGGCCUCAUACCUACUUAGAGUUGUAAUUUUUCUAUUUUUGUCUACACUAAACUACCUGAAAGGAACAUCCAAAAUUGCUAUGAUUUUCAUACCUCUUGGGCAAAUGGAUUGACUUAAAGUCACAUUCUCAGUAGUGUUUUUGCUGAACCCUAUCCAUUUUAAUGCAAUCGUGUGCAUUAUAAGCUAUUUCCCUUAUUUGCUUUCCCUUCUUCCACUGCAUACUAUUUUACUUUAAAUGUGUAUUUUCCUAUCAACCAGUCUUGUAACAUGUGAUUUAUUUUUCCAUGUGCUUCUAUUUUCAAUUCAUGUAAAAACUAUUAGAUUGUAUGUUAUUUAUCAUUUUGCACUCAUUUGCCAAUUCCUAGGAUCUUUACAUGGACUUUGAUCUAUUGCUUCCCAGUCUGGUGUAUUAGCCUUUGAUGAGUCUCUGCCACUCCUUACCCAUCUGCUGUCCCCAGUGGACACUCAGAUUGCCACUCGGUCACCAUCACCAUCUAUACUAGUCCCUUACAGACCUGUGAGAGAAUUUCUCUAGGCUACUGAACUGGUGAGCAGAAUUGUACCAUAGCAAGUAUAUAAACCUAAUUUUCCUGAGUUCUUCCAGAUUGUGCGUUAGCACGAAAGCAGCAUUUACCUUCUGACAGUGCAUGAAGAUUAUUCCAUGCACACAUUCCUCACAAGCCCUUGGAGAGGCCUAGCGGGCAUUGGAACACUCACUAGGGGUGGCGAUUAGCUGUGGUGGUGGCCACCUGAUUCAGUCUGUUCUGACUGCUGCCAGGGUCUGUCCUGGUGUGUCAGUCUGCACUGUGCUUUGAGAGCCAUUCUCUGAUGUUCAAUAGAAAAAUCUCUGUUCACCUUUCUGUUGGAUUUGAAGCUAUCUUAAUUUGCUCAAACCCUUUAUGCUUAAACUAUUAAGUUUCUGUCACAAAAAAAGACAAAAAGCACAAAAACCAAAAAUCCCAAAUGCAAAAACACCAAAACCAGAAAAAGAAACAACAGUGACCUCACAUUCAACUUCAUACUUUAGCUUAAUGUAAUCUCUUUUCUUUGUAGCAACCUGGGUAGAAUUAAUCUAGAUUUUUCCUCAUAAAAUAAUUAAGUAUUUGAAGGAUUUUUUUUCUAGUUUCAGGAUAUUUCAAGAUUUUUAUUUUCAAGUAAUUUCUACACCAAACAUGGGCUUGAACUUACGACCACGAGAUCAAGAGUAGCAUGCUGUACCAACUGAUCCAGCCAGGUAUCCCUAUUUCAAGAAUGUUAGUUUGCCAUUGUCCAGGAUUUUUAGAUGAGAAAAAGGGUAAAUAUAAAAGAAAAAGCAAAUUCCCCUCGUCACAUCUGGAAAUUUUACAUUUUUCCUUAUAAGCCCUUCCAUCAAGAAUUAUUUAAAUAAAGACAUUUUGAUCAUUUACAUGUGUGCUAAUUUCAUUCACACAGGAAUCUUGGGGCAGGAGCCAGGAGGGCUGCUUCCCAGGACCUCUUUUGAUCCUGAUGGGAUGUCUACAGAUCCAGAUCACACGCUGAUUGGAGCCCAGCUCUAUGGUUGGGGUGGGGAAGGUGGGUAGAGUAGAACCGCAGAGAAACUAAAGAUGUAGGAACUGUUCCUUGGCUAAACUCAGAAGAAUUGUUCAAGCAGAAAGAUAUCCUACUUAACCAGAUUCUCAGAUCCCUGCCUCAUUGUAUAUCCACUCCCCGACUCACCCAGAUUUUAAGGCUGACUUUGUAUGAGGCUAAAAUUGGCACUCCUUUGUCCCUGGUCAGCUUGAACACUUCUAACCCAACCCUGCCCAGGACCAAAGAAGAGGAGAGCUCUAAAUUCCUACCGCUAGUAGGUCCCAAGGGUAGCUCAGGAUCAGAGCUUUGUCCCCGGCCCUUCACCCUUCACUCUUCUCCCUUCUCCAGCUCCAUACCUUUAUCAGAGUACUAAUGGGAGAGAAAAAGGACUUCCUCACAUAUGCACCCUCCCUCUCCUCUUGUAAUUCUGUCUACUAUUGAGAAAGGGCACAAAACAUUUAUGAAAGGCCUCUAAAAACAACAUUUAUUGUCUUAUUAGGGACUACAUGAAGAGACAAGUUCCCAGGCUGAUCCUUCAGCUUUCCUAAGGCCAUAUGGUCCUAAGGCCUCAUGGUUCAAAAGUAGCAUGUAUCCAGGGUGGGGUAGGGGAGGACAGCAUCAUUCUGGAGGUCUCCACCACCACAGAUCUCCAGUCUCUGGGGUGUGUGUCCAGAGCUGGAUGGAUGUGGCUAAGAGCCAGCCAUGGCAGGUAGCUGUCCAGUGUUCUGUAGUACCAUGUUCUCUGGGGGCUGUCUGACUCCUUUUGGCUCGUGGAUGAUGGCUCCUAUGCAGACAGAUCUAAGUCUGGCUCCAAAGUGUUCUGGGUUCCAGAUGAGUGGCUGUGUUGAGGGCAGGUGUGGCUCAGUAGCCCACACAGACUAGAAAGUAGUUCCCAGUUGAAAUAUAUACUGUCCCACCAGGGCUCCCCCAGCUUAGGGUAGAAAGGGAGAGGCCAUGGCCCCAAAUCUUUUGAGCUCAGAGGCAAAGGCAGUGGGGGUUCUAGCACCACCUCUGCAGAUUCCCAAGCCUUCUUCACACAGUGGCAAAAAGGCUGGUCCAUGACUUCCACCUCUGAAUCUGGAGAAAUGGAGUGUCUAGACGGAGAGAAGAGGCAAAGGACUGAGCUUAGCAUGGAGCUUUUUUUUUUUUUCCGAGGACAUGAUUGCUACGUUUAAUUCAAUGGUUAUACCCAAUCCUGUCUUGUAAAACCAAAACACCCCUAUCAAAACUACAUUGUGAUGUGAGUACAGGUUUCUCGUUUUUGAUACAGCUCUAGAAAAAAGUUGGCACCAAAUGCACAUUAAAAGAAGUUUUAAGGCUUAAUAAAAAUACAGACUAAGGAUUCCAAAAUGCAGCUUAGAGGUUGAGAACAGGAUGCUGAGUUAAUGAACCUUCCAAAUACAGGCAGUCCCCGGUGUAUUGAGCAUUUCCCAAAUAUAAAUGGGCUCACAGGAGUAGGAAGUCCUCUCCUGCUUCUCUCAGUGACCAGGCUACCAGGCACCUAAACCCACUUCUACAGCUCGGGGGAGGGAAGGGCGGGGAGAGCAGGAAGGGAGGGCACCCGUCUGUACUGUGCAGAGACUCCUGCUCAGUUCCCCUGUGCCUCCAUCCCUACUUCUAGCAUGGGACUUCAUAUACUGUUUGGUCUCUUGUGCAGUCCCAAAUUACAGUGCAUUAGGUAGGGUGGUGACAUUACUUUGAGACAAAUUGUUUCAGAAGGCUGAGUCUGAUGAUGUUAAGUCAAAAGUAGAAUCAUAUUGAUCCCAAUUCUAUAAAGUUUGUAUAUAAAGUUUGUACUAUAAAGUUUGUAUAAAAAGUUUGUACUAUAAAGUUUGUAUAUAAAGUUUGUAUAUAAAGUUUGUACUAUAAACUGGUAUCAGUGAUUAAUAGGGUUAAAGUUAAAAACAAGAAAGAUCACAAAUGGGGUUACUCUGUGUGAAAAACCAGAUACAUUCUGUGUCCUUUACAUAUGUGAUAUUGGAUAUUCUCAUCAUCACCUGAAAUUAGAGCACAGGCUUUGCUAGAGUGGAGGUGAAAACCUGGGUCUCCAGAGAGAUUUCUGUAGGGGGACUGGUUUGGAGAGGCGGUAAGGACCAAAGUGAUUCAUCAAUUCUCCAGUCUUGAUUUGAACUCUCAACUUCCUGCUUUGGUCCUCUACUUCUGGAUUCCUAAAUGACAACCGAGAGGAGAGAGAGACAAAAGAGCUUUAGAUAUCAAAAGAUUACAUGUUUUGGGUUCCAAUUCUUAUUUCAACCUUUACCAAGUGUAUAUAAUUAUUAAACUAAGUUGCUCUUUUAAAAGAUUUUAUUUAUUCAUGAGAGACACAGGCAGAGGGAGAAGCAGGCUCUGUGCAGGGAGCCGGAUGCGGGACUUGAUCCCAGGUCUCCAGGAUCAGGCCCUGGGCCAAAGGCAGGCCCUAAACCGCUCAGCCACCUAGGGAUUCCCCUGCCAGUUGCUUUUUUUAAACUGUGAAGGGAGGACAAAAAAUACUGAUUUCAAAAGGCAGCUGUGAGGAUUUAAUAAAAUAUUGGUAAGGUGACAGUUCCUGACACACAACUAAUAACCUUUG